AGUUGUUCAUUCUCAGCUUUCUGAUUGUAGCUGAAAUAUGACCCCACCCGCUUCACACUCUUGCUUUCGUGGAGAAGUCCACCACUAGGCUUCCCUACCAUGACAAAACCACAUCCUGAACUGUGAAAAGAAUAAGGCAUAUUGUACAGUCUCUUUGUAAACUGUGAAGUACUGUCAGGGUGCUGGAAUCUCUCAUUUCUGCAGAGAGAUGACUAUAUCCAUCGGGAAGGAUUUCCCACUAGGAGCAGAAGACCCGAGAUUAGUGUAGGUGAUACAAGUUAGAGAAGGAUCUGAGUCUAUCAUGGCUGCAAAGAGUCGUGGCUGUAGGAGCUGGAACCUGACUCACACCUUCACAUGAAAGAAUGAAACAGAGAGCAAACAGGAAGCAAGGCAAGACUAUAAAGAGACAAAGUCCACCCCCAGUGACAUUAAGGUCUUCCACCAAGGUUCCUUCCAUCAACAAGAUUCCACAACCUCCCCCCAUAGGGGACCAAGUGUUCUGAGCCAAUGGAGGACCCUCUCAUUUCAAACUAACACAAAGUGUUAUUUGGACACUUAAUCCAUCUGCUCUCUGAAUGUUGGCUCCUGUUCCCUGGACUCCACCCAUUUCCCUGACUGACAGGCAGAAAUUUGGGACUUUGAACUCAGGGGAUGGAUUUCUAUCUUGGAGCUGUCAGUUUCCUGCUCUGUGGAUGAAUUGUGCCAAAACCCUAGCCUUGUGUAGCUGAUAUGAGAAAGGAUGUCCAGCCAAUAUUUAACACCACAUCUGGCAGACACCAGACUAAUGAAUACCUAAGUUCCCUUGACUUUCUGUCUUGUGUCAGCUUCCCCCCUGCUCCCCGUGCCUUUCUUUUGAGCAGUGGUGAGUCUCCUCUCUUGGGCUUCAUCUUGUAUAAUGUGAAGUUUUGGCAAGGCCCUUCAUAUUUCUCCCUUGCCCAGGGGAGGCUUGCUGAGGGAACACAAAUGACUUUUCUUCAGCACCUGUAUAUACAAUGUCUGAAACUGCAAUAAAAGAGAGUUGGCAAGAGACCCAAA
Molecule: long non-coding RNA, 1035 nt
Filed under: Mus musculus (house mouse)
Lineage: Eukaryota; Metazoa; Chordata; Mammalia; Rodentia; Muridae
Description: predicted gene, 57856, transcript variant 2 (Gm57856)
Source: RNAcentral